Molecule: non-coding RNA, 522 nt
Organism: Pelobates cultripes (western spadefoot toad)
Lineage: Eukaryota; Metazoa; Chordata; Amphibia; Anura; Pelobatidae
Source: the annotation of a GenBank genome assembly
GUCAGUGUCUGUGUGUAUGUGUGUUUCAGUAUGUCUGUCUGUGUGUAUGUGUGCCAUAAUGUCUGUAUGUCUGUCAGUGUGUCAGUAUGUCUAUGUGUGAGUCUGUCAGUGUCCAUGUGGUUCUGUAUGUCUGUGUGUUUCAGUAUGGCUGUCUGUGUGUGUCUCUGUGUCAGUACGUCUGUCAGAAUGUGCCUUUGUAUCUGUAUGUUGUCCGUUUGUGUUUGUGUGUGUAUCUAUAUAUAGUCAGUGUGUAUCUGUAUGUCUUGAGUUUGUAUAUCUGCAUGUGUGUCAGGUUGUGUAUCUGUGUAUCUGUGUGUCUGUAUGUGUGUCAGUGUGUGUGUCGGUGUAUCUAUAUGUAGUCAGUGUGUGUACCUUUGUAUCUGCAUGUAUCAGUGUUUGUAUCUGUGUAUCUGCAUGUUUGUCAGGUUGUGUAUCUGUGUUUGUGUCUAUCUGUGUGUCAGUGUUCUAUAUGUAGUCUGUGUGUAUCUGUAUGUUCUUGUGUGUAUCUAUAUGCAGUCAGUG